GACGAACGCUGGCGGCGUGCCUAAUACAUGCAAGUCGAGCGAACAGAUGAGGAGCUUGCUCCUCUGACGUUAGCGGCGGACGGGUGAGUAACACGUGGAUAACCUACCUAUAAGACUGGGAUAACUUCGGGAAACCGGAGCUAAUACCGGAUAAUAUAUUGAACCGCAUGGUUCAAUAGUGAAAGACGGUUUUGCUGUCACUUAUAGAUGGAUCCGCGCCGCAUUAGCUAGUUGGUAAGGUAACGGCUUACCAAGGCAACGAUGCGUAGCCGACCUGAGAGGGUGAUCGGCCACACUGGAACUGAGACACGGUCCAGACUCCUACGGGAGGCAGCAGUAGGGAAUCUUCCGCAAUGGGCGAAAGCUUGACGGAGCAACGCCGCGUGAGUGAUGAAGGUCUUCGGAUCGUAAAACUCUGUUAUUAGGGAAGAACAAAUGUGUAAGUAACUAUGCACGUCUUGACGGUACCUAAUCAGAAAGCCACGGCUAACUACGUG
RNAcentral lists this ribosomal RNA (497 nucleotides) under uncultured bacterium. RNAcentral's name for it is "partial 16S ribosomal RNA". It matches the Rfam family "Bacterial small subunit ribosomal RNA", at positions 28 to 507 of the family's 1533-position model. The record is from RNAcentral.